RNAcentral lists this ribosomal RNA (743 nucleotides) under uncultured Ralstonia sp. Its description in RNAcentral is "bacterial SSU rRNA". It matches the Rfam family "Bacterial small subunit ribosomal RNA", at positions 56 to 789 of the family's 1533-position model. The record is from RNAcentral. Lineage: Bacteria; Pseudomonadati; Pseudomonadota; Betaproteobacteria; Burkholderiales; Burkholderiaceae.
UGCAGUCGAACGGCAGCAUGAUCUAGCUUGCUAGAUUGAUGGCGAGUGGCGAACGGGUGAGUAAUACAUCGGAACGUGCCCUGUAGUGGGGGAUAACUAGUCGAAAGAUUAGCUAAUACCGCAUACGACCUGAGGGUGAAAGUGGGGGACCGCAAGGCCUCAUGCUAUAGGAGCGGCCGAUGUCUGAUUAGCUAGUUGGUGAGGUAAAGGCUCACCAAGGCGACGAUCAGUAGCUGGUCUGAGAGGACGAUCAGCCACACUGGGACUGAGACACGGCCCAGACUCCUACGGGAGGCAGCAGUGGGGAAUUUUGGACAAUGGGGGCAACCCUGAUCCAGCAAUGCCGCGUGUGUGAAGAAGGCCUUCGGGUUGUAAAGCACUUUUGUCCGGAAAGAAAUCGCACUUACUAAUAUUAGGUGUGGAUGACGGUACCGGAAGAAUAAGGACCGGCUAACUACGUGCCAGCAGCCGCGGUAAUACGUAGGGUCCAAGCGUUAAUCGGAAUUACUGGGCGUAAAGCGUGCGCAGGCGGUUGUGCAAGACCGAUGUGAAAUCCCCGGGCUUAACCUGGGAAUUGCAUUGGUGACUGCACGGCUAGAGUGUGUCAGAGGGGGGUAGAAUUCCACGUGUAGCAGUGAUGGGCGUAGAGAUGUGGAGGAAUACCGAUGGCGAAGGCAGCCCCCUGGGAUAACACUGACGCUCAUGCACGAAAGCGUGGGGAGCAAACAGGAUUAGAUACCCUG